This 460-nucleotide ribosomal RNA is filed under the name uncultured bacterium. RNAcentral's name for it is "partial 16S ribosomal RNA". It matches the Rfam family "Bacterial small subunit ribosomal RNA", at positions 338 to 795 of the family's 1533-position model. The record is from RNAcentral.
CCUACGGUGGGCAGCAGUGAGGAAUAUUGGUCAAUGGACGAGAGUCUGAACCAGCCAAGUAGCGUGAAGGAUGACUGCCCUAUGGGUUGUAAACUUCUUUUAUAAAGGAAUAAAACGAGGCACGUGUGCCUUUUUGCAUGUACUUUAUGAAUAAGGAUCGGCUAACUCCGUGCCAGCAGCAGCGGUAAUACGGAUGAUCCGAGCGUUAUCCGGAUUUAUUGGGUUUAAAGGGAGCGUAGAUGGGUUGUUAAGUCAGUUGUGAAAGUGUGCGGAUCAACCGUAAAAUUUCAAUUGAUAAUGGCAGUCUUGAGUACAGUUGAGGUAGGCGGAAUUCGUGGUGUAGCGGUGAAAUGCUUAGAUAUCACGAAGAACCCCGAUUGCGAAGGCAGCUUAUUAAACUGUGACUGACAUUGAUGCUCGAAAGUGUGGGUAUCAAACAGGAUUAGAUACCCCUGUAGUC